This 252-nucleotide ribosomal RNA is filed under the name uncultured bacterium. RNAcentral describes it as "partial 16S ribosomal RNA". It matches the Rfam family "Bacterial small subunit ribosomal RNA", at positions 524 to 776 of the family's 1533-position model. The record is from RNAcentral.
UACGUAGGUCCCGAGCGUUGUCCGGAUUUAUCGGGCGUAAAGCGAGCGCAGGUGGUUUAUUAAGUCUGGUGUAAAAGGCAGUGGCUCAACCAUUGUAUGCAUUGGAAACUGGUAGACUUGAGUGCAGGAGAGGAGAGUGGAAUUCCAUGUGUAGCGGUGAAAUGCGUAGAUAUAUGGAGGAACACCGGUGGCGAAAGCGGCUCUCUGGCCUGUAACUGACACUGAGGCUCGAAAGCGUGGGGAGCAAACAGG